CAGCCGCCGCGGUAAUACGUAGGGCGCAAGCGUUGUCCGGAAUUAUUGGGCGUAAAGAGCUCGUAGGCGGUCUGUCGCGUCUGGUGUGAAAUCCCGAGGCUCAACCUCGGGCUUGCAUCGGGUACGGGCAGACUAGAGUGCGGUAGGGGAGACUGGAAUUCCUGGUGUAGCGGUGGAAUGCGCAGAUAUCAGGAGGAACACCGAUGGCGAAGGCAGGUCUCUGGGCCGCAACUGACGCUGAGGAGCGAAAGCAUGGGGAGCGAACAGGAUUAGAUACCCCUGUAGUCCCUGUCUCUUAUAC
This 301-nucleotide ribosomal RNA is filed under the name uncultured bacterium. RNAcentral describes it as "partial 16S ribosomal RNA". It matches the Rfam family "Bacterial small subunit ribosomal RNA", at positions 509 to 807 of the family's 1533-position model. The record is from RNAcentral.